GGAGGACAGGCUGAUGUUGGUUGGCAGCACCUGUUUGCUAAACCGGACCGUGUCACAGCGGCGAAGGUUCGAUUCCUUUGUCCUCCG
This 87-nucleotide transfer RNA is filed under the name Bacteroidota bacterium. Its description in RNAcentral is "tRNA-Ser". It matches the Rfam family "tRNA". Rfam says of the family: Transfer RNA (tRNA) molecules are approximately 80 nucleotides in length. Their secondary structure includes four short double-helical elements and three loops (D, anti-codon, and T loops). Lineage: Bacteria; Pseudomonadati; Bacteroidota. The record is from RNAcentral.